GGACUACUGGGGUAUCUAAUCCUGUUUGCUCCCCUAGCUUUCGUUCCUCAGCGUCAGUUGCGGUCCAGCGAGCCGCCUUCGCCACGGGUGUUCCUGCAGAUAUCUACGCAUUUCACCGCUACACCUGCAAUUCCACUCGCCUCUCCCGCACUCUAGCACGGCAGUUUCGAAAGCAGCCUCUGAGUUAAGCCCAGAGAUUUCACUUCCGACUUACCGCACCGCCUACGAACCCUUUACGCCCAGUAAUUCCGAGCAACGCUGGCCCCCUACGUCUUACCGCGGCUGCUGGCAC
Molecule: ribosomal RNA, 292 nt
Filed under: uncultured Acidobacteriota bacterium
Lineage: Bacteria; Pseudomonadati; Acidobacteriota
Description: uncultured Acidobacteria bacterium partial 16S ribosomal RNA
Source: RNAcentral